GACAGAGGUGCCGAGCGUUAGGCGGAAUCACUGGGCUUAAAGCGUGUGUAGGCGGGCGAUCAAGCACCUUGUGAAAUCCCACGGCUCAACCGUGGAACCGCUGGGUAUACUGGUUGUCUUGAGCCGGCUAGGGGCGAGCGGAACAGACGGUGGAGCGGUGAAAUGCGUAGAUAUCGUCUGGAACGCCGAAGGUGAAAACAGCUCGCUGGGGCCGCGCUGACGCUGAGACACGAAAGCCAGGGGAGCGAACGGG
This 253-nucleotide ribosomal RNA is filed under the name uncultured bacterium. RNAcentral describes it as "partial 16S ribosomal RNA". It matches the Rfam family "Bacterial small subunit ribosomal RNA", at positions 524 to 776 of the family's 1533-position model. The record is from RNAcentral.